CAAAAAGUAGUUUAAGAAAAACAAAAGCUUUGGAAGCUUUAAUUUUAGCCAACUAACUUUUUGA
Molecule: transfer RNA, 64 nt
Filed under: Sinohyriopsis cumingii
Lineage: Eukaryota; Metazoa; Mollusca; Bivalvia; Unionida; Unionidae
Description: Hyriopsis cumingii tRNA-Pro
Rfam family: tRNA
About the family: Transfer RNA (tRNA) molecules are approximately 80 nucleotides in length.
Source: RNAcentral